AGAGUUUGAUCCUGGCUCAGGAUAAACGCUGGCGGCGUGCCUAACACAUGCAAGUCGAACGCAUUCGAGCAAUCGAGUGAGUGGCGGACGGGUGAGUAACGCGUGGGUAAUCUACCCUGUGGUGAGGAAUACCAGCGAGAAAUCGCUGACAAUACCGCAUAGGUUUCCUCCAAUGGAAACAAAGCUUCGUAAGAGGCGCCACAAGAUGAGCCCGCGCCCGAUUAGCUAGUUGGUGGGGUAAUGGCCUACCUAGGCGACGAUCGGUAGUUGGUCUGAGAGGAUGAUCAGCCACACUGGGAUUGAGAACGGCCCAGACUCCUACGGGAGGCAGCAGUGAGGAAUUUUCCGCAAUGGGCGCAAGCCUGACGGAGCAACGCCGCGUGCAGGAUGAAGGUCUUCGGAUCGUAAA
Molecule: ribosomal RNA, 409 nt
Filed under: uncultured bacterium
Lineage: Bacteria
Description: bacterial SSU rRNA
Rfam family: Bacterial small subunit ribosomal RNA
Source: RNAcentral